RNAcentral lists this ribosomal RNA (253 nucleotides) under uncultured bacterium. Its description in RNAcentral is "partial 16S ribosomal RNA". It matches the Rfam family "Bacterial small subunit ribosomal RNA", at positions 524 to 776 of the family's 1533-position model. The record is from RNAcentral.
UACGGAGGGUGCGAGCGUUGUCCGGAAUCACUGGGCGUAAAGGGCGCGUAGGCGGCCUGGUAAGUAGGGGGUGAAAUCCUGCGGCUUAACCGCAGGGCUGCCUUCUAAACUGUCAGGCUCGAGCACGGUAGAGGCAGAUGGAAUUCCCGGUGUAGCGGUGGAAUGCGUAGAGAUCGGGAAGAACACCGGUGGCGAAGGCGGCGCUCUGGACCGAGACUGACGCUGAGGCGCGAAAGCGUGGGGAGCAAACAGG